CGGCUUUGAUGGACAGGUGUCGCUUCAACCAAGAGUGACUAUGCAUAUGGAUUAUUGUAAAACCUGCAGUGUACUACUGGCUUUCAAUCCCAUCUCUUCCCAAGAUACCCUAGUUCCCGUGCCUAAAGCACACCAUGAUUAAAGACAGAACAAUCGUGAUGACGGCACUCCUCCGCGACCCAACGCCCCACUCUUCUCAGAUUGUCUUUUCCCCUCACCGUACCAGAGUUCCCCGUCACCGGCGACGGAGCUCCCAAAUUAAAAAUGAAACCGUCAAUCCCUUUGUUUUCCUCCCUAGGUUCCGAAUCUCCAAUACAAACGCCAUAAUUAUCAACCAAGUAAUUCGAUCGGAUGCGUACCUACAAUAACCCUAGAUGGACUUCCUAAAAUUCAGCAACAAUCGUCAAGAAUCGGAGCCUCUGAAUGGGCUUUGAUUCACCGUGAACAACUCUAUGUUAUUAUAGGAUACAUCGAAGCAAAGGGAGGAAUCGUUUACUUACUUUGCCGGAGAAUAUGAUUCGAGUGACGACGACGGUGAAAACGAUAUCGUGUUGGCUGCUUGGGUACAAUUUUGGCAUAGGCUUGACAAAUUUGUAGCUUUUGCGGAUCAUCUCAUCCUCCUGGUUCAAUUCGUACCAUCUUGAGUGAUUAAAUUCCUAGCUUGCAACCAAAUCUUCACCAGCAGCAGCUCUGGAUCCAUUGCCUGGGGUUGACCCUGUUAUCCUGUCGUUCAUGCUGAUAAAUGAGACUAUGUCACCGACAACUGCCCCUAAAGCUGCAGGGGUCAAUGAACUCACUUGUCGCUCUAAUUAGAUCAACCUUUGAUUUUCCUGAAGGGGCGCUAAUUCAUUACCAUGAGCACCAUCUGGACCGGUGAACUCUGCCAGUAAAGGAGAGGUUGAUAUUCCCGGAGUUCCGAUGGCAAGUGAUUGAGUAGGUGCUGAUGCACCCGCAUCCCCAACUUGUUGGUGUCCAACAUCUGAAAUUGAUGAAAUACCAAAAAUGAGCUUUUUAAAAAUCUCCUGGCAUAGGAGAUGGAGCUAAGGGAGGUGAAGGAGUGGGGACUACAAAUGGGCAUAUGACAUGAAAUGUACGUAACGGAACCCAUCCAAUGAUUGGCAAAAAGGUGCAACAGUGAAACCCAACAGUUUAGUGAUCGCAUCCAAGAGGUAAUCUCGAGUACAAGCCUUGACAAUCUUAGAGAGGAAAUACAUUAUCAGCAGGAUUUCCACUCUAAUCACUGAGUGUUUAGAGGAAUGUUACAAUAUGUAUGGAUAGCUCCUUCUACGUCAAAACGAGCUUCUGAAAUCGAGUUAUCUCCCUUUUGAUAGCACCUUCUUUGAGAGAGGAAUAAAUUUGCAUUUGGGCUUUAUAUCCAACUGAUAGACUGUCUAGAUCCUUGACUACCCUGACAGAAGAUUGGAUGGUCCAUCAUAUUCCUUAUUCACCUAGGAAACAUCAACUCGCUAAGCAGGAUGCCGGCUAUCGACAUUCUUCUCAUCCGUCUUUAGGAAUUCCUGAAUAGGAAAUGAAUCUAUGCGCUUCUUUCUAGCUUCUUUCUAGCCGGGGCGCUUACGCGGUGACAGAGCUGUGGUAUUCAUCAUUUAUGGUAAUGCUGAUGCCUUCCUUGGAGACUUGGAGACUUGCACAUGCACACGAUUUUCACGACAUAAGAAGGAGAGGAACUAGUGUACGAGACAACAAUAUUAGCAGUAGCUUUAUUUCUGUAAACCCCAUCUCACCAGCCACUCAUUCUUUAUACCGUACUGUACAAAGUCUUAAAAAUAAUAUGUACAUGAUGUAAUAUGUAGUUUUUUGGAUCUUGUGGUUUUGAAUAUUGUAUUGAUUCCUUUUUUGUCAUUUGGAAAUAGUAAUGCCUCGUGUUUGGUUCUAUAUUUAGAAUGAUUGUAGUUGGAAUUGGGAAUUUACUGCUAGAAUGUAGUGAAAAGAAUCUAUUCAAUGUAUUGUGUAUGGAAUUGAUUGGUGAAUAAAUAUUGUAUGGUUCAUGAUGGUAA
Molecule: long non-coding RNA, 2015 nt
Organism: Lathyrus oleraceus (garden pea)
Lineage: Eukaryota; Viridiplantae; Streptophyta; Magnoliopsida; Fabales; Fabaceae
Exons: 3
Source: RefSeq, a predicted model, not a curated record